Molecule: ribosomal RNA, 424 nt
Filed under: uncultured Neglectibacter sp.
Lineage: Bacteria; Bacillati; Bacillota; Clostridia; Eubacteriales; Oscillospiraceae
Description: bacterial SSU rRNA
Rfam family: Bacterial small subunit ribosomal RNA
Source: RNAcentral
CCUACGGGAGGCAGCAGUGGGGAAUUUUGGACAAUGGGGGAAACCCUGAUCCAGCCAUGCCGCGUGCAGGAUGAAGGUCUUCGGAUUGUAAACUGCUUUUGUCAGGGACGAAAAGGUUUCGGUUAAUACCCGAAACUGCUGACGGUACCUGAAGAAUAAGCACCGGCUAACUACGUGCCAGCAGCCGCGGUAAUACGUAGGGUGCAAGCGUUAAUCGGAAUUACUGGGCGUAAAGCGUGCGCAGGCGGUUCCGUAAGAUAGAUGUGAAAUCCCCGGGCUUAACCUGGGAAUUGCAUUUAUGACUGCGGAACUGGAGUUUAUCAGAGGGGGGUGGAAUUCCAAGUGUAGCAGUGAAAUGCGUAGAUAUUUGGAAGAACACCAAUGGCGAAGGCAGCCCCCUGGGAUACGACUGACGCUCAUGCAC